Molecule: long non-coding RNA, 1370 nt
Organism: Oreochromis aureus
Lineage: Eukaryota; Metazoa; Chordata; Actinopteri; Cichliformes; Cichlidae
Source: Ensembl
GCGCUGCGUUACUCUGCCUCGCCUCUCCUUCACUGAACACAACUGCCCCUCCCCCAUCGCUUCACCUGCAGGCAACGACAAGAUGGACACGGCAGCUAUCAAAGAGGAGCUGGCAGGUGUGUGUGUGGGUGCGGCUGUGACAGGCACCUUCAGGCGUGGUGGGUGUGCCCCUGCCAGGUGACUGGCCACACCUGAAGAUCAUCAGACACACCUGGAGCUGAUCAAGCCUCGUCGGGGAGCUACUUAACAGUGUGGCUGAGCGCUCCUCGACGCUGGAUCGUUGCGUGAGACUUCCCCAGGAGUACGGAAGCGCAAGGGCAUAGGAAGACACAGACACUAAAUACAAGAGGGAAACACGGCAAAGAGGAAACACCUGGGAAACACGGCUGGCGCUAAUUACACUGACAAAACAUGGAAGAGCAAAACAGAACAUGACCCACACCGACGAGAGACUAUCAAAGUAAAACAGGAAGAACACAGAGGACUAGAGGAACAGACAGAUGUACAUGAAGACAAGGCUGACCUAAAAAGGGGAGGAAUCACAGACUAUAAAUACAGAAUAAAUUCAGGAGUAUAAUCAUACUGGGCUAAGAAAUAGAAAAAACAGAGAGAACCUGAUAAACAAACAAGACUCGAAGAACCAAAAGACAAGAGACUCGUAUUACUGGGUCAAAAUGACCCAGAACUGAAAAUUUUUUAAAAUCUGUUACUGUGUCACAUUUAACCUCCCAGGACGCGGCGUCCACAUAUGUGCACAUCACAUUUUGGAUUGUUUAGACCAAAAUACUAAAUUUUGCUCUACAAGGGCCUGAUAUCCACUUACGAGGACGUUAUAUUGUCACUGUUCUAUUGAAAUUUAAACCGAAUGUCCUCAUAUGUGGAUCUCAUUUUUCUCAGAAACAAAAAUUAGGUUAAAAAGAAUCAGGUAAUUCUUUGUUUUUACAUUCAUCAGGUCCCAAUCAGCCCAAAUAGCAAGGAGAAAUUAAAAAUGCAUCCCAUGAAAGAGUUCAGGUCUUAGGAGGUUAAAUUAAAGACUUUCAAAAAUCAAUUUUCUCACAGUCAAUAUUUGAUAUGUUGUCUUUUUCGUAGUUUCAGUUCUGUUUGGGAUUUAACUGUAAAUCACUCCAUUCUGCUUCUUUUCAGACUUUAAUCAUCAUGUCAGCUUUUUUCUUUUGGAAAUGGGACUGUGUUUAAAAUUUGUGUGUUCAGAUCUGCAUAAACAACUAAAUAGCUCAAAUAUAGUAACUAAAACUGAUAAAGAAUACAGACAGGGAGGAUUCAAAUAAAUAUGAAAUGUUGGACUGAGUUUUUUUUUUUUUUACAGGUUUUCACAGAAGCUUUGACUUGAGGCUUAUCUACCUUAAAUCCUA